This is a long non-coding RNA of Grammomys surdaster, 1073 nucleotides long. RefSeq lists it as uncharacterized. The transcript has 5 exons. NCBI's taxonomy places the organism in Eukaryota, Metazoa, Chordata, Mammalia, Rodentia, Muridae. The record is from RefSeq and is a predicted model, not a curated record.
AGCCUAUCAACAUCGAACGAGUGUUCCCUUUCUCUGCACUCUGACAGCAUUGUUACCAGUUGAUUUGUUGAUUUUAGCUGUUGUGACUGGGUAUUUUCAGAAUUCUCCACACUGAUGUCCAUAGUGGUUGUAGAAGAUUGCAGUCCCACCAAGACUGAAUGAAUGUCGCUUAAUCCAUAUCCCCUUCUUCAUUUAUGCCUAGGAACAGUGCUGAAGAGGCUGAAGCCAUGUUCCCAACAGUUUACCGUGUUGCCUCAUCAUCCAGCAGAACAAUCCCAAGGUCUCUGGAAAGUAGAUUGGUCUGCAGACCCUAGGAAGUGGCACCCAGACAGGAUGAGGCCGUCUGAGUCCAGGUGGCCUUGGGUUCUCUGCCUCUCUCUCAUCCCUGUGACUGUAGUCUGGAAUUAUUCAGCCCACCUCUAAUCUUGGGUCUCUGAUCUGGACAGAGGUAGUUCUGGAUUAUCUAAGAGAACACAUUGAGCAAGGCAUGGGAUACAAGACCUGAGUUCCGAAGAUGAUGGAUCACAACCUACAAGAUGAAAUGAACCCUUACCUCUCCAAGCUGAUUUUGGUCAUAAGUAAUAGCUUAAAUAUCAAAGCCAUGAUCUCUAUAUCUGCUACAUUUGCAUCAUGCUUGCCUACAGAGCACUAUAGGAACAAGGCCCUCUCAAGCUUUCUUUGUUUUUUGUGUCCACUUUUCCUCGGAUUUUCUGAAUCUUUUUGUGUCUCCUGGUUUCCUGAGGAUGAUCUUUUCAGGCUAAUGGACACCGAAGCAGUUGCAUUUGAACUGAGCUAUAUACACUGGCCUCUGCUGUUUUAUUGACCUGGUAAUAUUUUCCACUGGACUUAGUAGCAUGAUAUCCCUUGGGGUCUUCUUUUCAUUCACCAUUUUCAGAAAAUGUCUGUUUUGUUCCCACUAAUCAAAACCCUGUGACUAUGUGACCCUAAGUUAUAUGACUUUUCUUUACCUCCUCCCUAUUACUCAUGUUAGCAGAGUCUAGAAGCCAAUCCCCAGUUUCCAAUGUCAUAUGACAGUUUGAGUGUUACUUCAUAAAGUUUAUUUCAUUUCGGGA